UACGUAGGUGGCAAGCGUUAUCCGGAAUUAUUGGGCGUAAAGAGCGCGCAGGUGGUUGAUUAAGUCUGAUGUGAAAGCCCACGGCUUAACCGUGGAGGGUCAUUGGAAACUGGUCGACUUGAGUGCAGAAGAGGGAAGUGGAAUUCCAUGUGUAGCGGUGAAAUGCGUAGAGAUAUGGAGGAACACCAGUGGCGAAGGCGGCUUCCUGGUCUGCAACUGACACUGAGGCGCAAAAGCGUGGGGAGCAAACAGGAUUAGA
RNAcentral lists this ribosomal RNA (259 nucleotides) under uncultured prokaryote. RNAcentral's name for it is "partial 16S ribosomal RNA". It matches the Rfam family "Bacterial small subunit ribosomal RNA", at positions 524 to 782 of the family's 1533-position model. The record is from RNAcentral.